This 235-nucleotide ribosomal RNA is filed under the name uncultured bacterium. RNAcentral's name for it is "partial 16S ribosomal RNA". It matches the Rfam family "Bacterial small subunit ribosomal RNA", at positions 118 to 351 of the family's 1533-position model. The record is from RNAcentral.
UGAGGAACAUGACCUUCGGCGGGGGAUAGCCGGCCCAACGGCCGGGUAAUACCGCGUACGACCACAUGGGGACAUCCCUGAGUGGUGAAAGCAGCAAUGCGCCGAUGGAGUGCCUCGCGGCCUAUCAGCUUGUUGGUGAGGUAAUAGCUCACCAAGGCGAUGACGGGUAGCCGGCCUGAGAGGGUGACCGGCCAUACGUGGGACUGAGACGACGGCCCAGACCUCCGUAGGACGG